GAUCUGCCAAGUUUGGAUCAAUUCUGCAGUUAUGCAAAUGACAGAAUAUCAUACAGUACAGCAACAGGCAGUUGUACUUACUUGAAACUAUGCAGACCAUGGAGGUUAAACACUGAUGAAUGGGGUAGCAGCCAUGACAUUAGAUUACAAAAUCUAAGAGGCCCUUUCAAAGUAAGAGCUUUGAGGAAGAAUGACUUUGUGAAAGUGCAUAUUCAAUUAAAGUAACUUUGUUUUAUUAUGUUGACCUAAUACAGACAUCAGAAACACUUGAACAUAUUAAAGCUUCUUAACUUAGGAACACUGUAAACAAGACGUGAGGUUGCACUCUAAUGGCUGCGGCAAGGACAGAGAAUGCAACAGGCUAACUACCAAGACUUAACCCAAACAGACAUACAUAAUACAUUUAAAUUUCAAGUACAAUAACUCAGCUUCUUUGUUUUUGCUCUAACUGCAGACGCAACACACACAGAAGUGCUUUUCCACAUGCAAUAGGAACAGUUGGUUUUAAUUAUGAUGUAGGGGACAAUGAUAUAUUGUAAAUUUUGAUAUUUUUGCAUCACAUUUGCAUGACGUUGAGUGCUGAAUGCCUAAGAUCACCUGACAGACACAUUAAUGUGCAAAAAGUUUUUUAUUUCAGCUCAGUCUUCCUUUUUAGCAACUAACACCAUUGAUUUUAAUGAAGUUAACAUUCUUUGUGGACCAUGGGCUGUGCCAUUAUGCAAUAAAAACAACGACAGCUGAACAUUUGAUUUAAAGAUUCCAGCUCUCUGGUUUUCUGAUUGAACUGUGGUGAGACGCCUCCUCCUCAUGUUUUAUUUUGGUUGGACUUCCUGUUUUUCUUUGUUUGCCUGGUAUGGCUUGACUCUUUUCCAGAGCACCCUCCCCCUCCCCGGUCGCUGAGGCUGAGUGAGACUCCACACCUGCACUGAAUCUGCAAUCAAGGCCUUUAAGAAGCCAGCAGCCCUCAGUCUCAGCGCCUGAGUAUUGUCUUCACUCCCAAGUGGUACAGACGCGUCUUCUGGCCUUCCUUUUGAAUAAGUGCUCGUAACUUUGCUCUGUGAUUCAUUGUAUGUUUACGCACUUCCAUCUCCUCUGUUUUCUACGCAGUGUCUCCAGCCCACACAACAGCCAGCCAGCCAACCGGACUUUCUCUUUUGCCUUCACCUCUGAGUUUGGCCAUUAAAAUUACAUCUUAAUUUGCUAUCUGCCUCUGUGUCUGCUUCUGGGUCCUCAAAAUACACCACACGCCACAGAAUUCUAAGGCAAGGAUAAUGGACCCAGCAGACCCGGACAGGUUCAAGCAAGCCAUCCACAAGCUUGGGGCUCCCCUCGGUCAACAUGGGAUAUGCUCCAGGGCCUCAAUCAGCCCUUCGAGGGUCUCUCAGUCCAAGUAGUGCAACUUGCGGAGCAACUCCUCUCUCGGCUUCCACCGCAGCUAUCUGGGUCUCCCCCCUCUGUGAGUAUGGUUCCCUCUACCUUCUCCGCCCUCACCUAACAUCAAAGAGCCCUUUGUCCCUCCUCCUGAGCUGUAUGCUGGGGAGAUUGGGGGCUGCAGAGGUUCCCUCUUCCGCUGUGCGUUAGUGUUAGAUCAACAGCCAAUUAGUUAUCCCUCGGAUCGGUCCAAGGUAGCCUACACCGUGAACCUAUUGAGAGGCAAAGCCUCUAAGUGGGCUACUGCCAUUUGGGAUAAGGGUUCGCCAAUGUUUUCCUCAUAUGCCAGAUUCACUGAGGAACUUUGCGAAGUGUUUGAUUAUCCUGUCGAGGGUCCCAAAUGUACAAAACAGUUGUUUUCCCUCACCCAGGGCUCUCCGUCUGUGGCAGAAUUUUCUAUUGAGUUCCGCACAGUGGCGGCCGAGAGUGGGUGGGGGAAACUAGAAUUAAAGGGUAUAUUCUCUUGUGGUCUGUCGGGACAGCUUAUAGAUGAGCUAGCAGAUCCUGAUGAACCCUCCUCACUUGAGGAGCUAAUCGCGUUAGCCAUUAGGUUAGACAAUCGCCUCAGGGAGAGACGGAGGGAAAAGAAAGUAAAUUCCCCUACCCAUGGCAUAGACUCCCCAUUCUCUGUCACGGUCAGCGUGUCUCCUCUGCAGCCCUCAGUUUUUCUGGAUCUGGCGCCCUCUGCCGGGGAACGCAUGCAAAUCGGCCGCACCAAACUACAUCCCAGUGAACGGAAACGACAGAUGGAGCAGAAGCUCUGUGUUUAUUGUGGCCAGGCUGGCCACUUUCUGCCCAACUGUCCAAACAAGUUAAACGACCAGGCUCAUCAGUGACAGAGAGCACCCUGAUGAGCCACACCUCCUCUGUCCCCAGCUCUCCCAGACAUAUCUCUGUACCUGCUUGCCUUCUGUGGGGAAAAGAAUCUACGUCUCUCCAAACCCUAAUUGACUCUGGGGUGGACAACAACUUCAUUCACGCCAGACUGGCAGCGCAGCUUAAGCUCCCCCUGGACGUACUCCCGGUUCCCCGUAAGGUCACCACUCUCAAUGGCAGGGUUAUAGCCACCAUAACCCACUGCACUACUCCUCUUACCCUCAUCCUCUCUGGAAACCAUCGUGAGGACAUCCGGUUGUUCUUGCUUCCCUCUCCGCACUCACCCCUUGUGCUUGGACUCCCGUAGCUGCAGAUCUACAACCCCCAAAUCAACUGGUCCACAGCUUCAAUCUCCGCCUGGAGUCCUCACUGCCACUCUCAUUGCCUCCGCUCCGCCAAUCCCUACAUCCACCGACAGAAGUCAGCAUGACCACCACCAUCUCUCGCCUCUGUUCCCCCCGUUUCCUAUGAUCUGGCCAUGGUUUUCAGUAAGGAGCAGUCUCUCGUCCCUCCUCCUCAUUGCCCAUAUGACUGCGCCAUAGAUUUGCUCCCUGGCGCCCCUCUCCCCAGCAGCAGACUGUACAAUCUCUCUCGGCCUGAACGAGAGGCCAUGGAGGAAUACAUCCAGGACUCCUUGACAUCUGGACUCAUCCGACCCUCAUCCUCUCCCCUUGCUGCUGGAUUUUUCUUUGUGAAGAAAAAAGAUUCCUCUCUCUGUCCCUGCAUCGACUUCCGCUGAAGCAAUGAGUUCACCAUUAAAAACAAAUAUCCCCUGCCACUCAUCGAUCCCUCCUUCGAACCUCUCUGCAAGGCCACCAUCUUCUCCAAACUGGACCUCCGGAAUGCCUAUCACCUGGUUCGCAUCAGGGAGGGUGACGAGUGGAAAAUGCCUUCAAUAUACCCAUAGGCCACUUCGAGUACCUCGUCAUGCCCCUUGGCCUCACCAAUGCCCCUGCUGUGUUCCAGGCUCUCAUUAAAGACGUCCUCUAGGACAUGAUCAACCAAUUCGCCUUCGUCUAUCUGGACGAUAUCCUGAUCUUCUCCCACAACCUGGAGAAACAUCAACAGAAUGUUCGACUGGUCCUCCAGUGACGAAGAGAACCACCUCUUCGUCGAACUCAAGAAGUGCGAGUUCCAUGCCUCCUCCAUUAGCUUCUUUGGAUACAUCAUCGCCCAGGGGGAGCUACGCCCAGACCCGGAGAAAGUCCACGCUGUCUGUGACUGGCCCACUCCCUCCUCCCGCAAAGACCUCCAGCGAUUCCUCGGCUUCGCAAACUUUUACCGGAGAUUCAUCAGGAACUGCAGCAAGGUGGCUAUGCCUCUUACCCCUCUCACAUCUCUCAAACUCCCGUUCUCCUGGACUACUGAAGCAGACGCCACCUUCUGUCGACUCAAGUCCCUCUUCAUCUCCACCCCAGUGCUCAAACACCCGGAUCCCUCCCUCCAAUUCAUAGUGGAGGUCGAUGCUUCAAACUCUGGAGUGGGGACCGUCUUCUCACAGAGGGAUUCCGAGACCCAGAAGCUCCAUCCUUGCGUCUACUUCUCCCAGAAACUCUCACCCACCGAGCGUAACUAUGAUGUGGGAAACUGUGAGUUGCUGGCUGUUGUGCGAGCACUCCAAGAAUGGAGACAUUGGCUGGAAGGAGCACAAAAACCCUUCCUCAUCUGGACCACAAGAACCUGCAAUAUCUCUGUUCUGCUCGACGCCUCAACUCCAGGCAAGCCCACUGGUCCCUCUUCCUCAGCAGAUUCUGCUUCACCCUCUCCUAUCGUCCCGGCUCCCGCAACGUCAAACCUGACUCCCUAUCUUGGAUCCACUCCUCAGCUACCUCUGACCCCAGAGAACUGGACACCAUCCUUCCCGCCUCCUGUGUCAUUUGCUCCGCCUCUUGGGUAAUCAACCCAGACCCUGGAACCAGUCCUCCUAAAAGAAAAUUCGUCCCUGAGGUUGCACGUUCCCAGGUCCUACAGUGGGGGCACUCCUCCAAACUCACCUGUCACCCCGGAUUUCAACGCACCCU
Molecule: non-coding RNA, 4328 nt
Organism: Xyrichtys novacula (pearly razorfish)
Lineage: Eukaryota; Metazoa; Chordata; Actinopteri; Labriformes; Labridae
Source: the annotation of a GenBank genome assembly